Molecule: long non-coding RNA, 534 nt
Organism: Gallus gallus (chicken)
Lineage: Eukaryota; Metazoa; Chordata; Aves; Galliformes; Phasianidae
Exons: 3
Source: RefSeq, a predicted model, not a curated record
GGACAAUGGUGCCUGGCAGCUGCUCUCUGACAGGGCUACCCAUCAACCAGCCGAGAUCCAUUCCUUUUUGAGACAAGUACUUCUUCAAGUCAUAAGCAAGAUAUUUUGAAAAGCAAGAAGGCAGAGAUGACAUAGGAAGAACUGCCCUAAAGACUAUGAAAAAGGACCUCAGAGACUUGGGGCAACAGGUAAAGGGUUCAAGAGCCCAAGUUGUGUUCUCCUCUAUCCCUCCAGUUGUAGGGAAUGAUAAGGGACUAAAUACAAUGGGCCAACAGAUUAACACCUGGCUCUAAGCCUGGUGUGCCCAGCAGAGGUUUUGGUUUUUUUGACCUCUGCUCUGUUUGCAUGAGACCAGGCCUGCUGGCAACCAAUAGGAGUAGCUUCUCUUACUGGUGGAAAGGGUGGGAGGUCUUAAGAUGGGAAUCAUAGAAUCAUAGAAUCAUAGAAUUGCCUGGGUUGAAAAGGACCACAGUGAUCAUUGAGUUUCAACCCCCCUGCUAUGGGCAGAGUUGCCAACCACUAGACCAGGCUGCC